RNAcentral lists this ribosomal RNA (253 nucleotides) under uncultured bacterium. RNAcentral's name for it is "partial 16S ribosomal RNA". It matches the Rfam family "Bacterial small subunit ribosomal RNA", at positions 524 to 776 of the family's 1533-position model. The record is from RNAcentral.
UACGGGGGGUGCGAGCGUUGUCCGGAAUCACUGGGCGUAAAGGGCGCGUAGGUGGCGUGAUAAGGGUGUGGUGAAAGCCCGGGGCUCAACCCCGGGUCUGCCAUGCCGACUGUCAGGCUAGAGUACUGUAGGGGCAGGCGGAAUUCCGGGUGUAGCGGUGGAAUGCGUAGAUAUCAGGAGGAACACCGGUGGCGAAGGCGGGUCUCUGGGCCGAUACUGACGCUGAGGAGCGAAAGCGUGGGGAGCGAACAGG